Molecule: ribosomal RNA, 253 nt
Filed under: uncultured bacterium
Lineage: Bacteria
Also listed under: 1 other name
Description: partial 16S ribosomal RNA
Rfam family: Bacterial small subunit ribosomal RNA
Source: RNAcentral
UACGGAGGAUGCAAGCGUUAUCCGGAAUGAUUGGGCGUAAAGCGUCCGCAGGUGGCUGUGUAAGUCUGCUGUCAAAGCGUCUGGCUUAACCAGAUAAAGGCAGUGGAAACUACACGGCUAGAGUGCGUUCGGGGCAGAGGGAAUUCCUGGUGUAGCGGUGAAAUGCGUAGAGAUCAGGAAGAACACCGGUGGCGAAGGCGCUCUGCUAGGCCGCAACUGACACUGAGGGACGAAAGCUAGGGGAGCGAAUGGG